GACGGGUAGCCGGCCUGAGAGGGUGACCGGCCACACUGGGACUGAGACACGGCCCAGACUCCUACGGGAGGCAGCAGUGGGGAAUAUUGCACAAUGGGCGCAAGCCUGAUGCAGCAACGCCGCGUGCGGGAUGACGGCCUUCGGGUUGUAAACCGCUUUUAGUAAGGAAGAAGGGGAGCUUGCUCCUUGACGGUACUUGCAGAAAAAGGACCGGCUAACUACGUGCCAGCAGCCGCGGUAAUACGUAGGGUCCGAGCGUUGUCCGGAAUUAUUGGGCGUAAAGAGCUCGUAGGCGGUUUGUCGCGUCUGCUGUGAAAUCUAGAGGCUCAACCUCUAGCCUGCAGUGGGUACGGGCAGACUUGAGUGGUGUAGGGGAGACUGGAAUUCCUGG
Molecule: ribosomal RNA, 391 nt
Filed under: Agromyces indicus
Lineage: Bacteria; Bacillati; Actinomycetota; Actinomycetes; Micrococcales; Microbacteriaceae
Description: bacterial SSU rRNA
Rfam family: Bacterial small subunit ribosomal RNA
Source: RNAcentral